GACGAACGCUGGCGGCGUGCUUAACACAUGCCAGUCGAACGGAAAGGCCCUGCUUUUGUGGGGUGCUCGAGUGGCGAACGGGUGAGUAACACGUGAGUAACCUGCCCUUGUCUUUGGGAUAACUUCAGGAAACUGGGGCUAAUACCGGAUAGGAGCUCCUGCUGCAUGGUGGGGGUUGGAAAGUUUCGGCGGUUGGGGAUGGACUCGCGGCUUAUCAGCUUGUUGGUGGGGUAGUGGCUUACCAAGGCUUAGACGGGUAGCCGGCCUGAGAGGGUGACCGGCCACAUUGGGACUGAGAUACGGACCAGACUCCUACGGGAGGCAGCAGGGGGGAAUAUUGCACAAUGGGCGGAAGCCUGAUGCAGCAACGCCGCGUGCGGGAUGACGGCCUUCGAGUUGUAAACCGCUUUCGCCUGUGACGAAGCGUGAGUGACGGUAAUGGGUAAAGAAGCACCGGCUAACUACGUG
Molecule: ribosomal RNA, 468 nt
Filed under: uncultured bacterium
Lineage: Bacteria
Description: partial 16S ribosomal RNA
Rfam family: Bacterial small subunit ribosomal RNA
Source: RNAcentral